AUAUUCAGACUACUUGAUUUUUAAAAAAUUAUGGUCAGUCUAAUGCUUCUUUAAUAAGCUUCUUCUGCUCUGGUGUGAGAGACUUUGGAAAACAAAUAUCAAAUUCAAGUAUUAGGUCUCCUUUUUGUCCUGGCUGAUUCUUUAUUGGCAUCCCUUCAUUUGGAACAAUUUUUCUUGUCUUUGGAUUUACAAUUUCCUUGAUUGGGAUCUGUAAGUUACGAUUGUCAAGAGUUGUCACAGGACAUGUAAAACCUGUUAGCGCUCUAACUAAGGGGAUAGUUACCUUCAUAAUAAGAUGGCAGUCAUCUCUUGUGAAUCUGGGGUGAGUCUUUGUUUGAAUUAUAAGUACUAAAUCUCCAGGCGACGUUCCAGGUGAUUCCUGAUCACCUUCUCCAGAAUAUGUUAACUUGGUCCCGUCUUUCCAGCCAGGUUUUAUUUCUACCUCGACUAUAUUUUCUUCAUUCCUCACUUUAUGUUCUAUAAACCUUUUUCUUGUAACCUUAAUUUUCUUACGUUUCCCUAAGUAUAGCUCUUCUAAAGUUACCAAUAAUGGGACUUCGUGCGAUCUUGGGGCGUGUCUAGUUGAAGAACGCCCAUUAUGCGUAGAUGACAUGUGUACUUGUCUGAACAUUCCACUUGGGCCACUAAAGAAAAAUGAGCUUCCUUCUUCAUCACCAAAACUACCUGCCCUAUCUGAGGCGAAAAAUCGUGCAAAAAUUUCAUUUGGAUCAAUGAAUAUUCCCCCACCCAUUCCUCCUUGAUCUGAUGUAGGACCUCCAAAUCCAGCUUGUAAUCCUUCCGAGCCAUAUUGAUUAUAUAUAUUUCGUUUCUCUUUAUCGCUCAAAACCUCAUAAGCUUCACCCAGUUCUUUGAACAUCUCUUCAGCCUUUUUCUUACCCUCAGGAGUAGAAUUUGCUUGCUUAUCGGGAUGGUAUUUAAUAGCAAGUUUUCUAUAGGCACGCUUGAUAUCUUGAUCAGAUGCGUCCUUAGAAAUACCCAGAAUUUUGUAAUAAUCCUACAAAUUAGAUAAUGUAACAGUUAAAAACUUUAAACGAAAAACUAGCAACUUACCUUACCC
RNAcentral lists this non-coding RNA (1078 nucleotides) under Cryptosporidium parvum. Lineage: Eukaryota; Apicomplexa; Conoidasida; Eucoccidiorida; Cryptosporidiidae. The record is from RNAcentral.